Non-coding RNA from Macaca mulatta (Rhesus monkey), 3167 nucleotides. The record is from RefSeq and is a predicted model, not a curated record. NCBI's taxonomy places the organism in Eukaryota, Metazoa, Chordata, Mammalia, Primates, Cercopithecidae.
CCUGGGUGACAGAGCAAGACUCCAUCUUGAAAAAAAAAGAAAACAGUUCUAAUGUCUGAUGAUCUAUCACUGUCUCUCAUUACCCCCAGGUGGGACCAUCUAGUUGCAGGAAAACAAGCUGAGGGCUCCCACUGAUUCUACAUUAUGGACUUCUCAGAGGCUUCAAUUUUCUAAAAUCAACUGUGACUGUUUGAAAAGGGGAUUCAGCAUUCAAAUUCCCCAACUUAUUAAACAACAACCGGCUUAACCAAAGUGGAUUCUCAACCAAAGUAUGUGAUCCUCUCAAGACAAAGACCUUUUACAAACAGGAUUUCAUCUGGCAAGAGGGGAGUGGAGAAGAGCUCCUUCAUCAAGUCUUCUCUCUGUGGGUGAACCCGUUGGCUCACAAUGAACAACUUAGGCACAUUACGGUAAACACCCAGGCCACAAAAAUGCGUUGAAACCACUGAAAAUGAAAUAAUCAGACCUACUUAAAUGUUUUUACCAUCUGGGCAAAUAACACCCCAAGGGCCAAGAUUUACCUAAGAAAGUGUCUAAGUAUGUUACCCAAGGCUGAGAGGCAACAGGUAGGUGGAUUUUGUGCCAAUUAGAAAGUGUUAUGAUUGGCAAACCACUGCAAAACUCUGAAAUUGCAGUGAAAUGGAAAUGCUGGCUGUCAUCCCCAAAGUACAUUUCAAGGAAUCACAAAACUUCAGAAUUAGAAGCAACUGAAUUAACGUUUUCACUCAUAUGAAAGUUGGAAGAUGAGGUGGUAACACGAGAGCUUUUGCAGGUGUCCCUGCUCUUAAUCUGUGCCCCUUCCACCUUGGUACCUUUCAUUCUUCAGGACCUGAUGGAGUGGUACAAAGCAGGGGUCACUUGACAAGCUCUCAGCCCAGCUCCUGGAUAGGGCAAAGCUGACAAGGAGCAGACACGGGGAGCCUGGAGAUCUCAGGGUCCAGGAAACAGCCGCCCCUUUGGAACUGCACAGCAGAGCAUAGCACUGGGAUCAGAGAGCAGACUCAUCCCCAAUCUUGUGCAAAAAAUAACAUUUGAUGAUUCCCAAGGUAGGUGAAGCAAGUAGCAUUUGGGGUUCCAGCAGCCCCUACAACUGUUUCCCAAAUGUUUGGAGUUUGACUUUGCAGUGUACACUUUGCCCUGGACUGUUUUUCUCUUAAUUUUUAGGCCCAAGUGUAUUUUAAGGUAAAUGGAUCCCACAUGCCUCUGAUGCAUUUACACUGAACUCAUCAGACCAUGUUUUGAAAGAGCAAUCUGAGGUCCAAGAAGCCCUUGGAGGCUGCUUUUAUGAGCCUCUCUGUGCUUCUUUUCUUAGAAGCAGGAAGCCACAUUUUGAUACGAACAAAUAAAACACAAACCUUAGAGACUCGGAUCUGGUUCCAAAUGUGGCACCUCUGAAACUGGUGGGUCCUCAAAUCAUCAAGACAGAAAGCUUCCCAGCCUUCUUUUUGAGAAGUUCAUGGAAACGUACCCGUGUUCUGUUGAGCCUAGAGGCAGUGGUUCAGAGGUGCUCGGUGCAAAGCUCACACAAAUCUUCAGCGUUUCUGUUUCCACACUUCUUCCCAGCACCUGAGUCUCCUGACACAGCCAGGACCCAGGCUCACUGCUGCCUUCUGGCCUUUGCUCUUCGGAGAGCUGAGCUGAGUGAGUCCCAAGGGAAUCACCCUCUGUUUUCUGAGCUUUGAAACCAGAGCAUCCUGAGCCAUUUGUUGCUGAUGUGAUUGCUAACACCACUUGACCCUGACUGAAGAACCACAACUAGGGAUGGUUUAGAUAUGCUUAGUUAGAGAAAAAAAUAACCACAGCCAACAGCAAAGUGAGGUGUGUGGUGUGGGUGUGAGAAAUGUUCUAGGGGUGAGGAGGGAGGACUUGCAGCUUCUUGGAUGCUACAGGGAGUGGAACAUGCUGUUUCCUUCCACUGAAGGCCUAAGAUACUACUAAGUGGAACAGGAGAGUUCCCUGGCCCCCUCACAGUAUGUGCAACAGGGGUGUGGCUCUCUGUUCAUCUGCCCCAAGCUAAAACCCCUUAUGGGAAGGGGAGCACGCAGACAGGCAGGUGCAGGAACCAGGGUGAGCACUUUUGGGCCCCAGUCCCAAGACAGCAUCUAGGGGUGGGCGUCUGUGACUUCCAAAGCCCAAGUAGGCACGUGUUACAGUGCAUUCUUUCAGCCUUGCCAUCUGUGGCAGCUUAAGCAUUAACCAGCUUAGUGGACCCUCUCCCUUUUCGCAAGGGCAGAGGGCCAGUAUGACAGCUUCCUAUAUCCCAAGCUCUUGUCCAGCAUCCUGGAAGAAUCAGGUCACACAUGAAUUUGCAGGAUGAAUGCAGGCGUUUUAUUGAGUGGUGGAGGUGGCUCUAAGUAGGAUGGAUGGGGAGCUGGACAGGGGAUAGAGUGGGAAGAUGAUCUUCCCCUGGAGUUUGGCCAUUCAGCGGCCAAUUUUCAGAUCAUCUCUAGCCGAAUUCCUCCCAAUGUUCCUUCUCUUCUCUUCUCUCCUUCUUUGCCGUGCUGUUCUGCCAUUCAUGUCUGCUCAUCUUCUUGUCUCCCCAUCUGCUUCUGGAGCCUGGAGCCUGGGGUUCAGGAUGUAUAUGGGUACAGGAUAGGGGAUGUGGCAGGCCAAAAGGCAACUUUUUAGGGAUGAAAACAGGAAUACCUGUCCUCAUUUAGGGCCCGGGUAUUUAGGCUUGAGGGUGGAGCCUUUGCCAGGGAACCACCCUCUUCUACCCAGUAUUUCUCUGUCUCCUGUCCAUAUCAUAAGGAUCUGUGGAAUGCCUACUAAGACUAGGGGUCCAGGGCACAACUCCUGGUAGGCACCGUGUGGGUCCUUAACGAAUAUCUCGCCAACAGGUAGGACGGGAGCACCCUCAGAUGGAUCGGUAGACUCCACCUUGGCUAUCAGGGAGUGCACUUUUUUCCUGAAGCCUUGGGAUGAUUCCUGGGGUGGGACAUAAAGACAGCCAUCCCAACCUGUCCUCCUGUGACUUGCAAUGUUGACUGUCGGUUGGCCCCUGCCCAGGGUUCUAAGAUUUGAAGGAUAUCCAGAGGCCCUGACCAGGAAAAGAAUAAUGAAUCCUACAAUGAGCAGAAAAGACAUUGAAGGUAAGGCAGCUAAGUCUCCAGCCCCAUCUGUCCACCUCUCUUUCUACGAUUUAUAACAAUACAUUCUCGACUCUG